GAUGAACGCUAGCGGCAGGCCUAAUACAUGCAAGUCAAGGGGGCAGCAAUGUCACCGGCGGACGGGUGCGUAACGCGUACACAACAUACCUUUAAGCGGGGGAUAGCAUUGGGAAACUGGUGGUAAUACCCCAUAACAUUGCGAGGUGGCAUUACUUUGCAAUUAAAGUUACGGCGCUUAGAGAUUGGUGUGCGUCUGAUUAGCUAGUUGGCGGGGUAAAGCCCACCAAGGCGACGANCAGGUAGGGGGUGUGAGAGCAUGACCCCCCACAUGGUACGU
Molecule: ribosomal RNA, 279 nt
Filed under: uncultured bacterium
Lineage: Bacteria
Description: partial 16S ribosomal RNA
Rfam family: Bacterial small subunit ribosomal RNA
Source: RNAcentral